RNAcentral lists this ribosomal RNA (477 nucleotides) under uncultured bacterium. RNAcentral's name for it is "bacterial SSU rRNA". It matches the Rfam family "Bacterial small subunit ribosomal RNA", at positions 29 to 507 of the family's 1533-position model. The record is from RNAcentral.
AUGAACGCUAGCGGCAGGCUUAACACAUGCAAGUCGAGGGGUAUAGGGAGCUUGCUUCCUAGAGACCGGCGCACGGGUGCGUAACGCGUAUGCAAUCUACCUUUGCAGAGGGAUAGCCCAGAGAAAUUUGGAUUAAUACCUCAUAGUAUGUGAGAAUGGCAUCAUUUCACAUUAAAGUCACAACGGCAAAAGAUGAGCAUGCGUCCCAUUAGCUUGUUGGUAAGGUAACGGCUUACCAAGGCUACGAUGGGUAGGGGUCCUGAGAGGGAGAUCCCCCACACUGGUACUGAGACACGGACCAGACUCCUACGGGAGGCAGCAGUGAGGAAUAUUGGACAAUGGGCGCAAGCCUGAUCCAGCCAUGCCGCGUGCAGGAUGACGGUCCUAUGGAUUGUAAACUGCUUUUAUACAGGAAGAAACACUCCGACGUGUCGGAGCUUGACGGUACUGUAAGAAUAAGGAUCGGCUAACUCCGUG